RNAcentral lists this unclassified non-coding RNA (514 nucleotides) under uncultured bacterium. RNAcentral's name for it is "partial contains 16S ribosomal RNA, 16S-23S ribosomal RNA intergenic spacer, and 23S ribosomal RNA". The stretch from base 383 to 514 matches the Rfam family "Bacterial large subunit ribosomal RNA", at positions 1 to 131 of the family's 2925-position model. The record is from RNAcentral.
UGCGGCUGGAUCCCCUCCUUUCUAAGGAGCACCUGGCCGCCUCGGCGGUCCAGAACUCAGGCCUGAGACGUUCGCUCUCAGGGUGAGGCUCAAGGGUGGAACACUGACUAGUAGGCGGCGACCUCGUCGCGCAUCGUUUAGUACAGAGCUUCGGCUCAGGAACGAGAUGCGCAACGGGCGGGAGCCGCCCAGGCGCGCUGUUGGGUCCUGAGGGAUCGGACCGGCGCUCGAGGACACGUCGUCAGACGUGACCCCGGGCGCCGAACGUCUCUCAGCGGACCGAUCCGCCUCGAACCACCUGCUCUGCAGCAGGCCGGCGAGGACCACGGAUCAGGGACCGCCCGUUUCUUGAGAACUGCACAGUGGACGCGAGCAUCUUUGUGGCCAAGUUAGUAAGGGCGCACGGUGGAUGCCUUGGCACCAGGAGCCGAUGAAGGACGUAGGAGGCUGCGAUAAGCCUCGGGGAGCUGCCAACCGAGCUGUGAUCCGAGGAUUUCCGAAUGGGGAAACCCGG